Molecule: transfer RNA, 69 nt
Filed under: Bos taurus (domestic cattle)
Lineage: Eukaryota; Metazoa; Chordata; Mammalia; Artiodactyla; Bovidae
Also listed under: 4 other names
Rfam family: tRNA
About the family: Transfer RNA (tRNA) molecules are approximately 80 nucleotides in length. Their secondary structure includes four short double-helical elements and three loops (D, anti-codon, and T loops).
Source: Rfam by way of RNAcentral
CCUGGUGGCUCAGAUGGAAAAGAAUCUGCCUGCAAUGCAGAAGACCCGGGUUCAAUCCCUGGGUCAGGA